Molecule: non-coding RNA, 72 nt
Organism: Macrostomum lignano
Lineage: Eukaryota; Metazoa; Platyhelminthes; Macrostomidae
Source: Rfam
GCCGUUGUAGCCUAGUGGUCAGAGCGUCGGACUCACGACUUGAAGGUCGGGGGUUCGAUUCCUUCGAUUGCA